This 591-nucleotide unclassified non-coding RNA is filed under the name uncultured fungus. RNAcentral describes it as "sequence contains 18S rRNA gene, ITS1, 5.8S rRNA gene, ITS2, 28S rRNA gene". Lineage: Eukaryota; Fungi. The record is from RNAcentral.
UCGACAUGCGCACGGAGUGGAAGGCAACCUCGGAUGCCAAGAACGUCUUCGAAGGGCGCGAUCGCAAGACCGGCGAACGCAGGUGGGUUGGGACCCGUGUCGACCUCAUCUUCGGCUCACACUCCCAGCUGCGUGCACUGGCUGAAGUCUAUGCGAGCGCCGACGCGCAGGAAAAAUUCGUUCGUGACUUCGUCGCGGCCUGGAACAAGGUGAUGAGUCUCGAUCGCUUCGACCUCGCGUGAUGCCGAAGGGCGAGCUUUUGCCAUCCCACGCCGGCCUGCUUCGACCUCCCCCGAGGUCAUCCCCGGGCCGGCGCGGUCGGGCCGCGCCAGGGCGGGCACGCCCGAUCCGGAGACGGGUCCAAUGAGCCUCGACCGCCGGCGUGAGCGGCGUGCGGCGCUGGUGGCAACUUUGGCGCUUAUCGCGUGUAGAUCCAUGCGACCACGAAGGCGAAUAGACUGAGCGUGAAGACCAGCAGCACGACCAGCAGUGGAUCGGGGUCGAUACGCUGACGGAGCUCGCGGGCGGCGCGACGCACCGCGGGCUGGGUCGUGCGCUGCAUCAGCAGAGGCGCCUGCUUUCUCACCAGAG